GCCCCAGUGGCGCAAUUGGUUAGCGCACGGUACUCAUAAUGCCGGGGUUGUGAGUUCGAGCCUCACCUGGGGCA
RNAcentral lists this transfer RNA (74 nucleotides) under Schistocerca americana (American grasshopper). RNAcentral's name for it is "tRNA-Met". It matches the Rfam family "tRNA". Rfam says of the family: Transfer RNA (tRNA) molecules are approximately 80 nucleotides in length. Their secondary structure includes four short double-helical elements and three loops (D, anti-codon, and T loops). The record is from RNAcentral. Lineage: Eukaryota; Metazoa; Arthropoda; Insecta; Orthoptera; Acrididae.